GGCAGCGGCAGCGGUGGCGGCGGCGCCUGAGGCCUGAGGAGGCGUCGUCCCCUCAGGCUUCGCCUGGGGAGCACCUCUGGGCGGUGCGCCUCAGGCUGCUCCGGACGCGGCGGACCCGGGCUGGAUGUGACCUUCUCCUGCCUGGAAUAGCUCAAGUGCUUAGAAGUUUCAUUGCACACCUGAGGAAGUACUUGAGUGCGAUUGGGUAGGAGAGGCCAAAUGAAUUCAUUUCAUGCCAGUAGGCAAAACAGUAA
Molecule: long non-coding RNA, 254 nt
Filed under: Suricata suricatta (meerkat)
Lineage: Eukaryota; Metazoa; Chordata; Mammalia; Carnivora; Herpestidae
Description: lncRNA (ENSSSUG00005014590.1)
Source: RNAcentral